GACGAACGCUGGCGGCGUGCCUAAUACAUGCAAGUAGAACGCUGAAGAGAGGAGCUUGCUCUUCUUGGAUGAGUUGCGAACGGGUGAGUAACGCGUAGGUAACCUGCCUUGUAGCGGGGGAUAACUAUUGGAAUCGAUAGCUAAUACCGCAUAACAAUAGGUGACACAUGUCAUUUAUUUGAAAGGGGCAAUUGCUCCACUACAAGAUGGACCUGCGUUGUAUUAGCUAGUAGGUGAGGUAACGGCUCACCUAGGCGACGAUACAUAGCCGACCUGAGAGGGUGAUCGGCCACACUGGGACUGAGACACGGCCCAGACUCCUACGGGAGGCAGCAGUAGGGAAUCUUCGGCAAUGGGGGCAACCCUGACCGAGCAACGCCGCGUGAGUGAAGAAGGUUUUCGGAUCGUAAAGCUCUGUUGUAAGUCAAGAACGAGUGUGAGAGUGGAAAGUUCACACUGUGACGGUAGCUUACCAGAAAGGGACGGCUAACUACGUGCCAG
This 501-nucleotide ribosomal RNA is filed under the name uncultured bacterium. Its description in RNAcentral is "bacterial SSU rRNA". It matches the Rfam family "Bacterial small subunit ribosomal RNA", at positions 28 to 511 of the family's 1533-position model. The record is from RNAcentral.